CUAGAUGGCGGGGUAAUGGCCCACCAUGGCUACGAUGGUUAGCUGGUCUGAGAGGACGACCAGCCACACUGGAACUGAAACACGGUCCAGACUCCUACGGGAGGCAGCAGUGGGGAAUAUUGCGCAAUGGGCGAAAGCCUGACGCAGCAACGCCGCGUGAGUGAAGAAGGCCUUCGGGUUGUAAAGCUCUGUCAGAGGGAAAGAAUAUUGCUGGCAACACCAGCAUUUGACGGUACCCUCGAAGGAAGCACUGGCUAACUCCGUGCCAGCAGCCGCGGUAAUACGGAGAGUGCAAGCGUUGUUCGGAAUUAUUGGGCGUAAAGCGCGUGUAGGUGGCUUGACAAGUCUGAUGUGAAAGCCCAGGGCUCAACCCUGGAAGUGCAUUGGAAACUGUCGAGCUUGAGUACUGGAGGGGGAAGUGGAAUUCUCGAGUGUAGAGGUGAAAUUCGUAGAUAUUCGGAAGAACAUCAGUGGCGAAGGCGACUUCCUGGACAGAUACUGACACUGAGACGCGAAAGCGUGGGUAGCAAACAGGAUUAGAUACCCUGGUAGUCCACGCUGUAAACGAUGGGUGCUAGUUGUCGCGGGUAACCAACCCUGCGGUGACGAAGCUAACGCGAUAAGCACCCCGCCUGGGGAUUACGGCCGCAAGGCUAAAACUCAAAGGAAUUGACG
Molecule: ribosomal RNA, 675 nt
Filed under: uncultured delta proteobacterium
Lineage: Bacteria; Deltaproteobacteria
Description: SSU rRNA
Rfam family: Bacterial small subunit ribosomal RNA
Source: RNAcentral